GCGCGCAUAGUACAGGGGUUAGUAUAUCAACCUUCCACCGCAGAAUAGUUGAUGACGUGAGUUCGAGUCUCGCUGCGCGCA
Molecule: transfer RNA, 81 nt
Filed under: Tilletia horrida
Lineage: Eukaryota; Fungi; Basidiomycota; Exobasidiomycetes; Tilletiales; Tilletiaceae
Description: tRNA-Gly
Rfam family: tRNA
About the family: Transfer RNA (tRNA) molecules are approximately 80 nucleotides in length.
Source: RNAcentral